GCGCGGAUGGCGGAAUCGGUAGACGCGCUGGAUUUAGGUUCCAGUGCCUUCGGGCGUGCGGGUUCGAUUCCCGCUUCGCGCA
This 82-nucleotide transfer RNA is filed under the name Brachybacterium equifaecis. RNAcentral's name for it is "tRNA-Leu". It matches the Rfam family "tRNA". From Rfam's summary of the family: Transfer RNA (tRNA) molecules are approximately 80 nucleotides in length. Their secondary structure includes four short double-helical elements and three loops (D, anti-codon, and T loops). The record is from RNAcentral. Lineage: Bacteria; Bacillati; Actinomycetota; Actinomycetes; Micrococcales; Dermabacteraceae.